RNAcentral lists this ribosomal RNA (447 nucleotides) under uncultured bacterium. RNAcentral's name for it is "partial 16S ribosomal RNA". It matches the Rfam family "Bacterial small subunit ribosomal RNA", at positions 29 to 523 of the family's 1533-position model. The record is from RNAcentral.
AGCGAACGCUGGCGGCAGGCUUAACACAUGCAAGUCGAACGCCCCGCAAGGGGAGUGGCAGACGGGUGAGUAACACGUGGGAACCUACCCUUUGGUUCGGAAUAACUUGGGGAAACUCAAGCUAAUACCGGAUAAGCCCUUAUGGGGAAAGGUUUACUGCCGAAGGAUCGGCCCGCGUCUGAUUAGCUAGUUGGUGAGGUAAUGGCUCACCAAGGCGACGAUCAGUAGCUGGUCUGAGAGGAUGAUCAGCCACACUGGGACUGAGACACGGCCCAGACUCCUACGGGAGGCAGCAGUGGGGAAUAUUGGACAAUGGGGGCAACCCUGAUCCAGCCAUGCCGCGUGAGUGAUGAAGGCCUUAGGGUUGUAAAGCUCCUUUACCCGGGACGAUAAUGACUGUACCGGGAGAAUAAGCCCCGGCUAACUUCGUGCCAGCAGCCGCAGUAA